UACGUAGGGGGCAAGCGUUGUCCGGAUUUACUGGGCGUAAGGAGCGCGUAGGCGGAAGCUUAAGUGUGGCCUGAAAGCCCCCGGCUCAACCGGGGAAGGUGGCUGCAAACUGGGUUUCUUGAGGGCGAUAGAGGAGAGUGGAAUUCCUGGUGUAGCGGUGAAAUGCGUAGAUAUCAGGAGGAACACCCGUGGCGAAGGCGGUUCUCUGGGCAUUACCUGACGCUGAGGAGCGAAAGUGUGGGGAGCGAACAGG
Molecule: ribosomal RNA, 253 nt
Filed under: uncultured bacterium
Lineage: Bacteria
Description: partial 16S ribosomal RNA
Rfam family: Bacterial small subunit ribosomal RNA
Source: RNAcentral